GGCCUACCAUGGUGGUAACGGGUAACGGGGUGUUAGGGCACGACACCGGAGAGGGAGCCUGAGAAACGGCUACCACAUCCAAGGAUGGCAGCAGGCGCGCAAAUUACCCAAUCCCGACACGGGGAGGUAGUGACAAUAAAUAACAAUACGGGGUUCUUUAGGAUCUCGUAAUUGGAAUGAGUACAAUUUAAAUCUCUUAACGAGGAACAAUUGGAGGGCAAGUCUGGUGCCAGCAGCCGCGGUAAUUCCAGCUCCAAUAGCGUAUAUUAAAGUUGUUGCAGUUAAAAAGCUCGUAGUUGAAUUUCGGGGUUAGUAAGUUGGUCAUGCCUUUGGUAUGCACUGGCUUUACUGAUUCCUCCUUCUUGACGAACCAUGAUGUCAUUAAUUUGGUGUUGCGGGAAAUCAGGACUGUUACUUUGAAAAAAUUAGAGUGUUUAAAGCAGGCUAACGCUUGAAUACAUUAGCAUGGAAUAAUGAAAUAGGACGUUAAUCCUAUUUUGUUGGUUUCUAGGAUCGACGUAAUGAUUAAUAGGGAUAGUUGGGGGCAUUAGUAUUCAAUUGUCAGAGGUGAAAUUCUUGGAUUUAUUGAAGACUAACUACUGCGAAAGCAUUUGCCAAGGAUGUUUUCAUUAAUCAAGAACGAAAGUUAGGGGAUCGAAGACGAUCAGAUACCGUCGUAGUCUUAACCAUAAACUAUGCCGACUAGGGAUCGGAUGAUGUUAAUUUUUUAAUGACUCAUUCGGCGCCUUACG
This 752-nucleotide ribosomal RNA is filed under the name uncultured Glomus. RNAcentral describes it as "SSU rRNA". It matches the Rfam family "Eukaryotic small subunit ribosomal RNA", at positions 338 to 1092 of the family's 1831-position model. Lineage: Eukaryota; Fungi; Glomeromycota; Glomeromycetes; Glomerales; Glomeraceae. The record is from RNAcentral.